AUCUCGACGGAGAGUUUGAUCCUGGCUCAGGACGAACGCUGGCGGCGUGCCUAACACAUGCAAGUCGAGCGGGAUCCAUCCGGUAGCAAUACUGGUGAAGAUCUAGCGGCGAACGGGUGAGUAACACGUGAGAAACCUGCCCCGAACUUUGGGAUAACACGAGGAAACUCGUGCUAAUACCGAAUACCUCCAUCUGGUCGCAUGGCCGGAUGAAGAAAGAUUUAUCGGUUCGGGAGGGUCUCGCGGCCUAUCAGCUAGUUGGCGGGGUAACGGCCCACCAAGGCAUCGACGGGUA
RNAcentral lists this ribosomal RNA (295 nucleotides) under Actinomycetota bacterium. Its description in RNAcentral is "Actinobacteria bacterium partial 16S ribosomal RNA". It matches the Rfam family "Bacterial small subunit ribosomal RNA", at positions 1 to 285 of the family's 1533-position model. The record is from RNAcentral. Lineage: Bacteria; Bacillati; Actinomycetota.